This 945-nucleotide ribosomal RNA is filed under the name Leuconostoc carnosum. Its description in RNAcentral is "bacterial SSU rRNA". It matches the Rfam family "Bacterial small subunit ribosomal RNA", at positions 45 to 975 of the family's 1533-position model. Lineage: Bacteria; Bacillati; Bacillota; Bacilli; Lactobacillales; Lactobacillaceae. The record is from RNAcentral.
UGCUAUACUGCAGUCGAACGCACAGCGAAAGGUGCUUGCACCUUUCAAGUGAGUGGCGAACGGGUGAGUAACACGUGGACAACCUGCCUCAAGGCUGGGGAUAACAUUUGGAAACAGAUGCUAAUACCGAAUAAAACUUAGUAUCGCAUGAUACCAGGUUAAAAGGCGCUACGGCGUCACCUAGAGAUGGAUCCGCGGUGCAUUAGUUAGUUGGUGGGGUAAAGGCCUACCAAGACAAUGAUGCAUAGCCGAGUUGAGAGACUGAUCGGCCACAUUGGGACUGAGACACGGCCCAAACUCCUACGGGAGGCUGCAGUAGGGAAUCUUCCACAAUGGGCGAAAGCCUGAUGGAGCAACGCCGCGUGUGUGAUGAAGGCUUUCGGGUCGUAAAGCACUGUUGUAUGGGAAGAAAAGUUAAGGUAGGGAAUGACCUUAGCCUGACGGUACCAUACCAGAAAGGGACGGCUAAAUACGUGCCAGCAGCCGCGGUAAUACGUAUGUCCCGAGCGUUAUCCGGAUUUAUUGGGCGUAAAGCGAGCGCAGACGGUUGGUUAAGUCUGAUGUGAAAGCCCGGAGCUCAACUCCGGAAAGGCAUUGGAAACUGGUUAACUUGAGUGCAGUAGAGGUAAGUGGAACUCCAUGUGUAGCGGUGGAAUGCGUAGAUAUAUGGAAGAACACCAGCGGCGAAGGCGGCUUACUGGACUGUAACUGACGUUGAGGCUCGAAAGUGUGGGUAGCAAACAGGAUUAGAUACCCUGGUAGUCCACACCGUAAACGAUGAACACUAGGUGUUAGGAGGUUUCCGCCUCUUAGUGCCGAAGCUAACGCAUUAAGUGUUCCGCCUGGGGAGUACGACCGCAAGGUUGAAACUCAAAGGAAUUGACGGGGACCCGCACAAGCGGUGGAGCAUGUGGUUUAAUUCGAAGCAACGCGAAGAACCUUACC